RNAcentral lists this ribosomal RNA (231 nucleotides) under uncultured bacterium. RNAcentral describes it as "partial 16S ribosomal RNA". It matches the Rfam family "Bacterial small subunit ribosomal RNA", at positions 103 to 334 of the family's 1533-position model. The record is from RNAcentral.
CGGGUGAGUAACACGUAUCCAACCUGCCGUCUACUCUUGGACAGCCUUCUGAAAGGAAGAUUAAUACAAGAUGGCAUCAUGAGUCCACAUGUUCACAUGAUUAAAGGUAUUCCGGUAGACGAUGGGGAUGCGUUCCAUUAGAUAGUAGGCGGGGUAACAGCCCACCUAGUCUUCGAUGGAUAGGGGUUCUGAGAGGAAGGUCCCCCACAUUGGAACUGAGACACGGUCCAA